GUGCCAGCAGCCGCGGUAAUACGAAGGGUGCAAGCGUUACUCGGAAUUACUGGGCGUAAAGCGUGCGUAGGUGGUUGUUUAAGUCUGUCGUGAAAGCCCUGGGCUCAACCUGGGAAUGGCGAUGGAAACUGGGCGACUAGAGUGUGGCAGAGGGUAGUGGAAUUCCUGGUGUAGCAGUGAAAUGCGUAGAGAUCAGGAGGAACAUCCGUGGCGAAGGCGACUGCCUGGGCCAACACUGACACUGAGGCACGAAAGCGUGGGGAGCAAACAGGAUUAGAUACCCUGGUAGUCC
RNAcentral lists this ribosomal RNA (292 nucleotides) under uncultured microorganism. RNAcentral's name for it is "partial 16S ribosomal RNA". It matches the Rfam family "Bacterial small subunit ribosomal RNA", at positions 505 to 796 of the family's 1533-position model. The record is from RNAcentral.